CGAAGGGGGCUAGCGUUGUUCGGAAUUACUGGGCGUAAAGCGCAUGUAGGCGGCUUGGCAAGUCGGGGGUGAAAUCCUGGAGCUCAACUCCAGAACUGCCUUCGAUACUGCUUGGCUGGAGUAUGGAAGAGGUAGGUGGAACUGCGAGUGUAGAGGUGAAAUUCGUAGAUAUUCGCAAGAACACCAGUGGCGAAGGCGGCCUACUGGUCCAUCACUGACGCUGAGAUGCGAAAGCGUGGGGAGCAAACAGGAUUAGAUACCCUGGUAGUCCACGCCAUAAACGAUGAGAGCUAGCUGUUGGAGGGUUUACUCUUCAGUAGCGCAGAUAACUCGAUAAGCUCUCCGCCUGGGGAGUACGGUCGCAAGAUUA
Molecule: ribosomal RNA, 370 nt
Filed under: uncultured organism
Description: bacterial SSU rRNA
Rfam family: Bacterial small subunit ribosomal RNA
Source: RNAcentral